Molecule: ribosomal RNA, 429 nt
Filed under: Actinomycetes bacterium
Lineage: Bacteria; Bacillati; Actinomycetota; Actinomycetes
Also listed under: 1 other name
Description: Actinobacteria bacterium partial 16S ribosomal RNA
Rfam family: Bacterial small subunit ribosomal RNA
Source: RNAcentral
UAGGGAAUCUUCCGCAAUGGGCGAAAGCCUGACGGAGCAACGCCGCGUGAGUGAUGAAGGUCUUCGGAUCGUAAAACUCUGUUAUUAGGGAUGAACAAAUGUGUAAGUAACUAUGCACGUCUUGACGGUACCUAAUCAGAAAGCCACGGCUAACUACGUGCCAGCAGCCGCGGUAAUACGUAGGUGGCAAGCGUUAUCCGGAAUUAUUGGGCGUAAAGCGCGCGUAGGCGGUUUUUUAAGUCUGAUGUGAAAGCCCACGGCUCAACCGUGGAGGGUCAUUGGAAACUGGAAAACUUGAGUGCAGAAGAGGAAAGUGGAAUUCCAUGUGUAGCGGUGAAAUGCGCAGAGAUAUGGAGGAACACCAGUGGCGAAGGCGACUUUCUGGUCUGUAACUGACGCUGAUGUGCGAAAGCGUGGGGAUCAAACAGG